GCUGGCGUAGCUCAAGGGUAGAGCAACUGAUUUGUAAUCAGUAGGUUGGGGGUUCGAUUCCCUUCGCCAGCU
Molecule: transfer RNA, 72 nt
Filed under: Acidobacteriota bacterium
Lineage: Bacteria; Pseudomonadati; Acidobacteriota
Also listed under: 1 other name
Description: tRNA-Thr
Rfam family: tRNA
About the family: Transfer RNA (tRNA) molecules are approximately 80 nucleotides in length. Their secondary structure includes four short double-helical elements and three loops (D, anti-codon, and T loops).
Source: RNAcentral